UGGGGAAUAUUGCACAAUGGGCGCAAGCCUGAUGCAGCCAUGCCGCGUGUGUGAAGAAGGCCUUCGGGUUGUAAAGCACUUUCAGCGGGGAGGAAGGCGAUAAGGUUAAUAACCUUGUCGAUUGACGUUACCCGCAGAAGAAGCACCGGCUAACUCCGUGCCAGCAGCCGCGGUAAUACGGAGGGUGCAAGCGUUAAUCGGAAUUACUGGGCGUAAAGCGCACGCAGGCGGUCUGUCAAGUCGGAUGUGAAAUCCCCGGGCUCAACCUGGGAACUGCAUUCGAAACUGGCAGGCUAGAGUCUGGUAGAGGGGGGUAGAAUUCCAGGUGUAGCGGUGAAAUGCGUAGAGAUCUGGAGGAAUACCGGUGGCGAAGGCGGCCCCCUGGACAAAGACUGACGCUCAGGUGCGAAAGCGUGGGGAGCAAACAGG
Molecule: ribosomal RNA, 429 nt
Filed under: Chloroflexota bacterium
Lineage: Bacteria; Bacillati; Chloroflexota
Description: Chloroflexi bacterium partial 16S ribosomal RNA
Rfam family: Bacterial small subunit ribosomal RNA
Source: RNAcentral